Molecule: RNA transcript, 1701 nt
Organism: Pyrus x bretschneideri (Chinese white pear)
Lineage: Eukaryota; Viridiplantae; Streptophyta; Magnoliopsida; Rosales; Rosaceae
Gene name: carbamoyl-phosphate synthase small chain, chloroplastic
Exons: 11
Source: RefSeq, a predicted model, not a curated record
AGGGCACAACGUAUCUCUCUCUCUAAAGCCAAAUAAUCCACUGCCGCAACAGAGAGAGGAGAAUGGCCUCGGCAGCUAUGGAAUUAGCUCUUAGAAAUCCGUCGACUUUAUUCAAUCCCAAGUCUCCAAAACCUUCAAAGCUUCGCGCUUUCACUCUCAGAUGCUCCCCCGCCACCUCAACCGCCGUCCCAGAUUUGGCAGAGAAACCUUGGAAGACUUCAGAUGCUAGGCUAGUGCUUGAAGAUGGUUCAAUCUGGAAAGCAAAGUCGUUUGGUGCUUCAGGGACCCAAGUUGGUGAAGUUGUAUUCAACACAUCCUUGACCGGGUACCAAGAAAUUAUUACAGAUCCUAGUUAUGCUGGCCAAUUUGUCCUGAUGACAAACCCACAUAUUGGAAACACUGGUGUAAAUUUUGAUGAUGAAGAAUCAAGGAAAUGCUUCCUUGCUGGUUUAGUGAUCCGAAGUUUAAGUAUCAGUACGUCAAAUUGGAGAUGUGCAGAAACAAUUGGUGAUUAUUUAGCAGAAAGAAACAUCAUGGGAAUUUAUGAUGUUGACACACGUGCUAUCACCCGAAGACUAAGGCAAGAUGGAAGCCUUAUUGGUGUUUUGAGCACAGAACAGACAAAAUCAGAUGAAGAACUAUUGGAAAUGUCUCGUUCAUGGGACAUUGUUGGGGUGGAUCUAAUAAGUGGUGUGUCUUGUAAGGCCCCUCAUGAAUGGGUUGAUAAAACACAUUCAGAGUGGGCAUUUAACUCCAGCAAAAGAGAUGGAGAUGCAUUUCACGUUGUUGCAUAUGAUUUUGGAAUCAAGCAUAAUAUACUCAGGCGCUUGGCUUCGUAUGGUUGUAAAAUCACUGUUGUGCCUUCAACAUGGCCAGCUUCAGAGACUCUGAAAAUGAAACCAGAUGGGGUCCUUUUCAGCAAUGGCCCCGGAGACCCAUCUGCUGUUCCUUAUGCUGUUGAAACAGUCAAGGAAAUUCUUGGGAAGGUUCCCGUUUUUGGAAUUUGCAUGGGCCAUCAGUUGCUUGGCCUGGCAUUAGGCGGUAAAACUUUCAAAAUGAAGUUUGGCCACCAUGGAGGAAAUCAUCCAGUCCGUAAUCUUCGUACUGGAGAUGUUGAGAUAAGUGCUCAGAAUCACAACUAUGCAGUUGAGGCUGCAUCACUUCCCAAGGGUGUAGAAGUAACUCAUGUUAAUCUCAAUGAUGGAAGUUGUGCUGGUCUUGCCUAUCCUGCACGAAACAUCAUGUCUAUUCAGUACCACCCUGAAGCAUCCCCGGGACCUCAUGAUUCAGACUACGGUGCUUGCACCAACUAGAGACAUGCACUAUUAACAGGAAAUCUAGGAAUUUCAUCAUCUACUGAAAGUUUUUAGCGAAUUCAUAGAGCUGAUGAAGAAAGUAAAAGUAAAUCCAUGAAGGUAUCUGCACUGAGCUUCAGUUGAUGGACGGCAUGCCCUGAGGGGGCGAGGGUUCAAAUUGUCAUAAACAAAUCCGGCCUCUGCUCGUAUCUAUGGGAUUAACAUUUACGGUUGCAAAAAACUUGUUGGGAGUUCCACCCCGUCUUUUCUGGUCAUGAUGCUCUAAUUGAUUCGUUUGUACUUGUUUUGAGAUGAAUAUUUGCCACGCUCGAAACUUUGCUCUAAUUGAUUCGUUUGUACUUGUUUUGUUUGCUUUAAUUGGUUCAAUAGAAUGGCUAUUCUACAA